AAUAAACGCUGGCGGCGUGCCUAACACAUGCAAGUCGAGCGAGAAAGCUCCUUCGGGAGUGAGUACAGCGGCGAACGGGUGAGCAACGCGUGGGAAUCUACCCUUCAGUGAAGAAUACCCUUGAGAAAUCGAGGUUAAUACUGCAUACGUCCUGUAAAGGAGAAAGAUGGCCUCUUUGCUGUCGUUGAAGGAUGAGCCUGCGUACUAUUAGCUAGUUGGUAGGGUAACGGCCUACCAAGGCGAUGAUGGUUAACCGGCCUGAGAGGGUGUACGGUCACACUGGAACUUAGACACGGUCCAGACUCCCACGGGAGGCAGCAGUGGGGAAUUUUGGACAAUGGGCGAAAGCCUGAUCCAGCAAUGCCGCGUGUGUGAAGAAGGCCUUCGGGUUGUAAAGCACUUUUGUCCGGAAAGAAAUGGCUCUGGUUAAUACCUGGGGUCGAUGACGGUACCGGAAGAAUAAGGACCGGCUAACUACGUGCCAGCCGCCGCAGUAA
Molecule: ribosomal RNA, 497 nt
Filed under: uncultured bacterium
Lineage: Bacteria
Description: partial 16S ribosomal RNA
Rfam family: Bacterial small subunit ribosomal RNA
Source: RNAcentral